AUUGAACGCUGGCGGCAUGCCUUACACAUGCAAGUCGAACGGCAGCGGACCUUCGGGUGCCGGCGAGUGGCGAACGGGUGAGUAAUAUAUCGGAACGUACUUUUCAGUGGGGGAGUAACGUAGCGAAAGUUACGCUAAUACCGCAUAUUCUGUGAGCAGGAAAGCAGGGGAUCGCAAGACCUUGCGCUGAUUGAGCGGCCGAUAUCAGAUUAGCUAGUUGGUGAGGUAAAGGCUCACCAAGGCGACGAUCUGUAGCGGGUCUGAGAGGAUGAUCCGCCACACUGGAACUGAGACACGGUCCAGACUCCUACGGGAGGCAGCAGUGGGGAAUUUUGGACAAUGGGCGCAAGCCUGAUCCAGCCAUGCCGCGUGAGUGAAGAAGGCCUGUGUAAG
Molecule: ribosomal RNA, 393 nt
Filed under: uncultured bacterium
Lineage: Bacteria
Description: bacterial SSU rRNA
Rfam family: Bacterial small subunit ribosomal RNA
Source: RNAcentral